This 508-nucleotide ribosomal RNA is filed under the name uncultured bacterium. RNAcentral describes it as "bacterial SSU rRNA". It matches the Rfam family "Bacterial small subunit ribosomal RNA", at positions 21 to 518 of the family's 1533-position model. The record is from RNAcentral.
GGCUCAGAACGAACGCUGGCGGCGCGUUUAAGCAUGCAAGUCGAGCGGCAAGGGCCUUCGGGCCCCUAGAGCGGCGGACGGGUGAGUAACACGUGGACAAUCUGCCCCCCUGGCCCGGGAUAGCCCAGGGAAACCUGGAUUAAUACCGGAUGAGACGGGACCCGCGAUGGCGGGAUCCGGGAAAGGCGCUGCGGCGCCGCCGGGGGAUGAGUCUGCGUCCCAUUAGCUAGACGGCGGGGUAACGGCCCACCGUGGCGACGAUGGGUAGCCGGCCUGAGAGGGUGGACGGCCACAUUGGAACUGAGACACGGUCCAGACUCCUACGGGAGGCAGCAGCUAAGAAUCUUCCGCAAUGGGCGAAAGCCUGACGGAGCGACGCCGCCGUGAACGAAGAAGGCCGUGAGGUUGUAAAGUUCUUUUCGGGAGGGGGAACAACCGUGGCAGGGAAUGGCCGCGGGAUGACGUGAAUCCCGGAAUAAGCCCCGGCUAACUACGUGCCAGCAGCAGC